GACGAACGCUGGCGGCGUGCUUAACACAUGCAAGUCGAGCGGUAAGGCCCUUUCGGGGGUACACGAGCGGCGAACGGGUGAGUAACACGUGGGUGACCUGCCCUUAGCUCUGGGAUAGGCCUGGGAAACUGGGUCUAAUACCGGAUAUGACCUCAUGACUCAUGUUGUGGGGUGGAAAGCCUUGUGCGGCUAGGGAUGGGCCCGCGGUCUAUCAGCUUGUUGGUGGGGUAAUUGCCUACCAAGGCGACGACGGGUAGCCGGCCUGAGAGGGCGACCGGCCACACUGGGACUGAGACACGGCCCAGACUCCUACGGGAGGCAGCAGUGGGGAAUCUUGCGCAAUGGGCGAAAGCCUGACGCAGCGACGCCGCGUGAGGGAUGACGGCC
This 387-nucleotide ribosomal RNA is filed under the name uncultured bacterium. Its description in RNAcentral is "bacterial SSU rRNA". It matches the Rfam family "Bacterial small subunit ribosomal RNA", at positions 28 to 416 of the family's 1533-position model. The record is from RNAcentral.